This 478-nucleotide ribosomal RNA is filed under the name uncultured bacterium. RNAcentral describes it as "partial 16S ribosomal RNA". It matches the Rfam family "Bacterial small subunit ribosomal RNA", at positions 28 to 523 of the family's 1533-position model. The record is from RNAcentral.
GACGAACGCUGGCGGCGUGCUUAACACAUGCAAGUCGAACGGUAAGGCCCUUCGGGGUACACGAGUGGCGAACGGGUGAGUAACACGUGGGUGAUCUGCCCCGCACUUCGGGAUAAGCCUGGGAAACUGGGUCUAAUACCGGAUAGGACCACUGCCUGCAUGGGUGGUGGCGGAAAGCUUUUGCGGUGUGGGAUGGGCCCGCGGCCUAUCAGCUUGUUGGUGGGGUGAUGGCCUACCAAGGCGACGACGGGUAGCCGGCCUGAGAGGGUGACCGGCCACACUGGGACUGAGAUACGGCCCAGACUCCUACGGGAGGCAGCAGUGGGGAAUAUUGCACAAUGGGCGCAAGCCUGAUGCAGCGACGCCGCGUGAGGGAUGACGGCCUUCGGGUUGUAAACCUCUUUUAGUAGGGAAGAAGCGAAAGUGACGAUACCUGCAGAAAAAGCACCGGCUAACUACGUGCCAGCAGCCGCGGUAA